This 232-nucleotide ribosomal RNA is filed under the name uncultured bacterium. RNAcentral describes it as "partial 16S ribosomal RNA". It matches the Rfam family "Bacterial small subunit ribosomal RNA", at positions 99 to 334 of the family's 1533-position model. The record is from RNAcentral.
CGGACGGGUGAGUAAUGUCUGGGAAGCUGCCUGACGGAGGGGGAUAACUACUGGAAACGGUAGCUAAUACCGCAUAACGUCGCAAGACCAAAGAGGGGGACCUUCGGGCCUCUUGCCAUCGGAUGUGCCCAGAUGGGAUUAGCUAGUAGGUGGGGUAACGGCUCACCUAGGCGACGAUCCCUAGCUGGUCUGAGAGGAUGACCAGCCACACUGGAACUGAGACACGGUCCAG